This 696-nucleotide ribosomal RNA is filed under the name Triticum aestivum (bread wheat). RNAcentral describes it as "partial small subunit ribosomal RNA". The record is from RNAcentral. Lineage: Eukaryota; Viridiplantae; Streptophyta; Magnoliopsida; Poales; Poaceae.
AUGAGGAUCACGGCUUGGAACCGCCGGGGGUUGGGGAACGGCCCGGCAGUGAGAGGGCUUCUGGAUCUGCAGAAGCAGGAGGACCCUGAUAUUCUUUUCUUGUCAGAAACCAAACUGAAUGGAAGGAAAAUGGAAAAUCUGAAAUGGCGAUUGGGAAUGAAUAACCUAGUGACGAGGGACUGUGAAGGAAAAAGUGGAGGCCUUGCACUCUUAUGGAAGAAAGAUAUUCAAGUGGAACUCCAUAACUACUCCAGAUAUCAUAUAGAUGUGGUGAUAACUGAAGGAGAUGGUUUCAGAUGGAGAUUUACCGGAAUUUAUGGUGAACCUGCUACUGAAAAGAAGAACAUAACUUGGAAAUUACUGAGUAUUCUGAAUCAACAUCUCAACCUACCGUGGCUUUGCGUAGGUGACUUUAAUGAAAUCCUUUACACUCAUGAAAAUAAAGGAGGGCCAAAUAGACCACAAUCAGCGAUGGAGAAAUUCAGACUAGCACUUGCUGAAUGUGGUUUAAGGGAUCUUGGCUAUAUAGGAGACAAGUUCACCUGGCGAAACAACAACCAUAUAGCUAGUCGGUAUAUAAACGAGAGGUUAGACAGAGCAGUGGGUGAUCAAAACUGGUGCAACCGAUUUCCCUCAUAUACGAUGGUGAAUGGAGACCCAAGGCACUCAGACCAUCGCCAGUCACUGUUCGGGUAG